This 479-nucleotide ribosomal RNA is filed under the name uncultured bacterium. Its description in RNAcentral is "bacterial SSU rRNA". It matches the Rfam family "Bacterial small subunit ribosomal RNA", at positions 28 to 517 of the family's 1533-position model. The record is from RNAcentral.
GAUGAACGCUGGCGGCGUGCUUAACACAUGCAAGUCGAACGAAGACAUCUGAGUGCUUGCACUUGGAUGGACUGAGUGGCGGACGGGUGAGUAACGCGUGGGUAACCUGCCUUAUACAGGGGGAUAACAGUUGGAAACGACUGCUAAUACCGCAUAAGCGCACAGUAUCGCAUGAUACAGUGUGAAAAACUCCGGUGGUAUAAGAUGGACCCGCGUCUGAUUAGCUGGUUGGUGAGGUAACGGCCCACCAAGGCGACGAUCAGUAGCCGGCCUGAGAGGGUGAACGGCCACAUUGGGACUGAGACACGGCCCAAAACUCCUACGGGAGGCAGCAGUGGGAAUAUUGCACAAUGGGGGAAACCCUGAUGCAGCGACGCCGCGUGAGUGAGGAAGUAUUUCGGUAUGUAAAACUCUAUCAGCAGGGAAGAUAAUGACGGUACCUGACUAAGAGGCACCGGCUAAAUACGUGCCAGCAGCCG